This 465-nucleotide ribosomal RNA is filed under the name uncultured bacterium. RNAcentral describes it as "partial 16S ribosomal RNA". It matches the Rfam family "Bacterial small subunit ribosomal RNA", at positions 28 to 507 of the family's 1533-position model. The record is from RNAcentral.
GACGAACGCUGGCGGCGUGCUUAACACAUGCAAGUCGUACGGUAAGGCCCUUUCGGGGGUACACGAGUGGCGAACGGGUGAGUAACACGUGAGUAACCUGCCCACAACUUUGGGAUAACGCUAGGAAACUGGUGCUAAUACUGGAUAUGUGCUCCUGCUGCAUGGUGGGGGUUGGAAAGCUCCGGCGGUUGUGGAUGGACUCGCGGCCUAUCAGCUUGUUGGUGGGGUAGUGGCCUACCAAGGCGGCGACGGGUAGCCGGCCUGAGAGGGUGACCGGCCACAUUGGGACUGAGAUACGGCCCAGACUCCUACGGGAGGCAGCGGUGGGGAAUAUUGCACAAUGGGCGCAAGCCUGAUGCAGCAACGCCGCGUGCGGGAUGACGGCCUUCGGGUUGUAAACCGCUUUCAGCAGGGACGAAGCUUUUUGUGACGGUACCUGCAGAAGAAGCACCGGCUAACUACGUG